AACGAACGCUGGCGGCAGGCCUAACACAUGCAAGUCGAGCGAGGACUUCGGUCCUAGCGGCGGACGGGUGAGUAACGCGUGGGAACGUGCCCUUUGCUUCGGAAUAGCCCUGGGAAACUGGGAGUAAUACCGGAUGAGCCCUUUGGGGGAAAGAUUUAUCGGCGAAGGAUCGGCCCGCGUUGGAUUAGGUAGUUGGUGGGGUAAUGGCCUACCAAGCCGACGAUCCAUAGCUGGUUUGAGAGGAUGAUCAGCCACACUGGGACUGAGACACGGCCCAGACUCCUACGGGAGGCAGCAGUGGUGAAUCUUAGACCAUGCGGGAAGCCCUGAUCUAGCCAUGCCGCGUGAGCGAUGAAGGCCUUAGGGUUGUAAAGCUCUUUCAGCUGGGAAGAUAAUGACGGUACCAGCAGAAGAAGCCCCGGCUAACUCCGUG
This 433-nucleotide ribosomal RNA is filed under the name uncultured bacterium. RNAcentral describes it as "partial 16S ribosomal RNA". It matches the Rfam family "Bacterial small subunit ribosomal RNA", at positions 29 to 507 of the family's 1533-position model. The record is from RNAcentral.